This is a non-coding RNA of Potamilus streckersoni, 77 nucleotides long. The record is from the annotation of a GenBank genome assembly. Lineage: Eukaryota; Metazoa; Mollusca; Bivalvia; Unionida; Unionidae.
GACUGCACCGGUCGUCUAGUGGUCUGAGCGUCCGCUUCCUAUGCGGGAGGUAGUUGGUUCGAACCCCAACCGAGUCA